AUGGGUUGUCGUCAGCUCGUGUCGUGAGAUGUUGGGUUAAGUCCCGCAACGAGCGCAACCCUCGCCUUUAGUUGCCAGCAUUCAGUUGGGCACUCUAGAGGGACUGCCGGUGUCAAACCGGAGGAAGGUGGGAUGACGUCAAGUCCUCAUGGCCUUUAUGUCUAGGGCUACACACGUACUACAAUGGCCGGUACAAAGGGCAGCCACUCAGCGAUGAGGCGCUAAUCCCAUAAAGCCGGCCUCAGUCCGGAUCGCAGUCUGCAACUCGACUGCGUGAAGUUGGAAUCGCUAGUAAUCGUAGAUCAGCAUGCUACGGUGAAUACGUUCCCGGGCCUU
Molecule: ribosomal RNA, 336 nt
Filed under: uncultured Desulfovibrio sp.
Lineage: Bacteria; Pseudomonadati; Thermodesulfobacteriota; Desulfovibrionia; Desulfovibrionales; Desulfovibrionaceae
Description: bacterial SSU rRNA
Rfam family: Bacterial small subunit ribosomal RNA
Source: RNAcentral